Molecule: long non-coding RNA, 1177 nt
Organism: Prosopis cineraria
Lineage: Eukaryota; Viridiplantae; Streptophyta; Magnoliopsida; Fabales; Fabaceae
Exons: 2
Source: RefSeq, a predicted model, not a curated record
CGAAUUUGAAAUAAAUCAAAUGCGAAAGUGGUGCGAAACCAAAAAUAAAAGAGAGAGGAGCAACGGGAGAAGAAGGUGGCUAUGUUGGGGCUUCAACAUUACAUAAUAUCGAGGCUAUUUGGAGCUAAGAUUCACUUGGGUGCUUUUUUGAUUGACUUGAGAAGUGGAGGUAAUUGGAAAUCUAAACUCCCCUGUAUCCCUGUCCAAGUGUUUUUGGUAUUUUUGAAAAGAUGAGAUUGUAUAUUUAUGAAUGAAUCUUGUUUGAAAUUGUCCACGGAUGUCCCUUUAAUAUUUAAUAUUGUUAAGGCAGUUAUACGGGCACACCGCACAAACUAGUAUUAUAAUCUCACGGAUACGUAAACUUGAACGAGAAGAGCGAAGUUCGUUUAGCAGAGGGGACGAAUUCUCGCUCGUCCAUAGAUAUUGAAGUAACUUGUUACUGGAGAGUUCACAAUGUACAUGUACCUUAACAAAAAUGUACACAUUUAAGAUCCCGCAGGAUCUCACGUGUAUGAUGAUAUAACUAGAAAAACCUGACGAGUAAACCCUGUACUCUAUGCUUUGGCCAAAAGAGAACCCUCUAAAGGCCUAUUGCCUUGUAUAUACCAAAAUAAUAAUAAUAAUAAUAAUAAUAAUAAUAAUAAUAAUAAUAAUAAUAAUAAUCUCGUAUUUUCUAAAUCAUGUCUCCAUUCUUCGAUCGUAAAAAUAUGACAGGUGCCGCAGGCUUUGUAUGACACGAUUCCCCCCAGUCUCCAUUGUCCCUCCUCUCUUCCAUCCUCCAAUGUUGAAUUCACAGCAGAGAAAACACUCGGAAUGUUAGUGGGGCAGAGGGUAUCAGAACAGAACCCCAUCGACCAAUAGAUUUUCCACUUAUUAGUCCCUCACUUCUCUUUUCUGUAAGGCCUGUGUGGGGUAGAGAAGCAUCGUCAAUGAUAGCGAAAAUAACAAACCAACGAUCCCACUGAAUGGCUGGAAUGGAUGAGUCCCAAUUAACCAAACAGGGAAGUUGCUCCCAUAGCUUAAAAAUUUGCCCUUUUGCAAGAUAAAAUUGGACGCCAUCAUCCCCGUGCGUAGCCCAAUUGGGAUCAAGAGACUACCUCCAUGUCUCUGUCGGGUGCCCGACAGAGACAGCGAUAAAAGCCAAAGUCCUAGUAUUGCUUGUGGAGACCUGAAAAAU